CAGUAGCCGCGGUAAUACAGAGGGUGCGAGCGUUAAUCGGAUUUACUGGGCGUAAAGCGUGCGUAGGCGGCUUUUUAAGUCGGAUGUGAAAUCCCUGAGCUUAACUUAGGAAUUGCAUUCGAUACUGGGAAGCUAGAGUAUGGGAGAGGAUGGUAGAAUUCCAGGUGUAGCGGUGAAAUGCGUAGAGAUCUGGAGGAAUACCGAUGGCGAAGGCAGCCAUCUGGCCUAAUACUGACGCUGAGGUACGAAAGCAUGGGGAGCAAACAGGAUUAGAUACCCCAGUAGUCCCUGUCUCUUAUAA
Molecule: ribosomal RNA, 301 nt
Filed under: uncultured bacterium
Lineage: Bacteria
Description: partial 16S ribosomal RNA
Rfam family: Bacterial small subunit ribosomal RNA
Source: RNAcentral